GACGAACGCUGGCGGCGUGCUUAACACAUGCAAGUCGAACGGAAUGGCGAACGGGUGGGUAACACGUGGGUGACCUGCCCUGCACUUCGGGAUAAGCCUGGGAAACUGGGUCUAAUACCGGAUAGUGUGGGAUGGGCCCGCGGCCUAUCAGCUUGUUGGGGGGGUAAUGGCCUACCAAGGCGGCGACGGGUAGCCGGCCUGGGAGGGGGGACGGCCACAUGGGGACUGAGACACGGACCAGAGUCGUACGGGGGGCAGCAGUGGGGAAUAUUGCACAAUGGGCGGAAGCCUGAUGCAGCGGCGCCGGGUGGGGGAUGACGUCUUUCGGGUGGUAAACUCCUUUCACCAUCGACGCGGUAGAUGGAGAAGAAGCACCGGCUAACUACGUGCCAGCAGCCGCGGUAAUUC
Molecule: ribosomal RNA, 408 nt
Filed under: uncultured bacterium
Lineage: Bacteria
Description: partial 16S ribosomal RNA
Rfam family: Bacterial small subunit ribosomal RNA
Source: RNAcentral